Molecule: ribosomal RNA, 274 nt
Filed under: uncultured bacterium
Lineage: Bacteria
Description: partial 16S ribosomal RNA
Rfam family: Bacterial small subunit ribosomal RNA
Source: RNAcentral
CUACGGAGGGGGCUAGCGUUGUUCGGAAUUACUGGGCGUAAAGCGUACGUAGGCGGACUGAUCAGUUGGGGGUGAAAUCCCAGGGCUUAACCCUGGAACUGCCUUCAAUACUGUCAGUCUUGAGAUUGGAAGAGGUGAGUGGAAUUCCUAGUGUAGAGGUGAAAUUCAUAGAUAUUAGGAGGAACACCAGUGGCGAAGGCGGCUCACUGGUCCAAUACUGACGCUGAGGGACGAAAGCGUGGGGAGCGAACAGGAUUAGAAACCCUUGUAGUCC